This 393-nucleotide ribosomal RNA is filed under the name Bellamya unicolor elatior. RNAcentral describes it as "SSU rRNA". It matches the Rfam family "Eukaryotic small subunit ribosomal RNA", at positions 17 to 389 of the family's 1831-position model. The record is from RNAcentral. Lineage: Eukaryota; Metazoa; Mollusca; Gastropoda; Architaenioglossa; Viviparidae.
CCAGUAGUCAUAUGCUUGUCUCAAAGAUUAAGCCAUGCAUGUCUAAGUUCACACCCUCGUACGGUGAAACCGCGAAUGGCUCAUUAAAUCAGUCGAGGUUCCUUAGAUGAUCCAUUUCUACUUGGAUAACUGUGGUAAUUCUAGAGCUAAUACAUGCCCAACAGCUCCGACCCCGGGCUUCGCGGUUCGGGGAAAGAGCGCUUUUAUUAGUUCAAAACCAGUCGGGGGUUUCGGCCCUCGUGCUUUGGUGACUCUGGAUAACUUUGAGCCGAUCGCAUGGCCUCGAGCCGGCGACGCAUCUUUCAAAUGUCUGCCCUAUCAAAUGACGACGGUACGUGAUCUGCCUACCGUGUUGACUACGGGUAGCGGGGAAUCAGGGUUCGAUUCCGGAGA